UUUGGGUUAGGGUAGGGUUAAAAGAAAAACUGGAUGGUCUUAAAGAGCACGGGCCUAUUAUUACUGUGUUGUUAAGCUAAUUGAAAUUGAAAUGAAAAGGGUAGGAAUGCAAAUGGAUGUGUUGUAGAAUCAUGUUUGUUUUUUUUAAAAAAAACAGGUGCUGUGUGGCGCUGAAUGAGUGGAUGGUGUUGUGGAUUUGAGGAUCAAGGUGCUGUGUGGCGAUGAAUAAGUGGAUGGUGCUGAAGAUGGAGAUCAGGUCCCAGGGGUGUAAUUGUGUUCAACUGUGUGAUCCAUUUUCUUUCGGCAUGCUUCCGCUGUCCACUGGACCACCCGGACCCCGACUCC
Long non-coding RNA from Hypomesus transpacificus, 345 nucleotides. RefSeq lists it as uncharacterized. The transcript is spliced from 3 exons. The record is from RefSeq and is a predicted model, not a curated record. NCBI's taxonomy places the organism in Eukaryota, Metazoa, Chordata, Actinopteri, Osmeriformes, Osmeridae.